Molecule: ribosomal RNA, 597 nt
Filed under: Flavobacteriales bacterium symbiont of Lecanodiaspis prosopidis
Lineage: Bacteria; Pseudomonadati; Bacteroidota; Flavobacteriia; Flavobacteriales
Description: bacterial SSU rRNA
Rfam family: Bacterial small subunit ribosomal RNA
Source: RNAcentral
CAAUGGAGGAAACUCUGAACCAGCCACUCCGCGUGCAGGACGACGGCCUUCUGGGUUGUAAACUGCUUUUGUAUAGAAAUAAAAUUUCUUACUAGUAAGAACUUGAAGGUACUAUACGAAUAAGUGUCGGCUAACUCCGUGCCAGCAGCCGCGGUAAUACGGAGGACACAAGCGUUAUCCGGAUUUAUUGGGUUUAAAGGGUGCGUAGGCGGUUUGUUAAGUCAGUAGUGAAAUCUUACAGCUCAACUGUAAAAUUGCUAUUGAUACUAGCAGCCUAGAGUAAGAUUGGAGCAAUUGGAAUGUGUGGUGUAGCGGUGAAAUGCAUAGAUAUCACACAGAACACCGAUCGCGAAGGCAGAUUGCUAAGUCUUUACUGACGCUGAGGCACGAAAGCGUGGGUAGCAAACAGGAUUAGAUACCCUGGUAGUCCACGCUGUAAACGAUGAUCACUAGCUGUUGGAUUGUUUUUUUUAUUCAGUGGCCAAUCGAAAGAGGUAAGUGAUCCACCUGGGGAGUACGAUCGCAAGAUUGAAACUCAAAGGAAUUGACGGGGGUCCGCACAAGCGGUGGAGCACGUGGUUUAAUUCGAUAAUACGC